RNAcentral lists this ribosomal RNA (255 nucleotides) under uncultured bacterium. Its description in RNAcentral is "partial 16S ribosomal RNA". It matches the Rfam family "Bacterial small subunit ribosomal RNA", at positions 524 to 776 of the family's 1533-position model. The record is from RNAcentral.
UACGAAGGGGGCUAGCGUUGCUCGGAAUCACUGGGCGUAAAGGGUGCGUAGGCGGGUCUUUUAAGUCAGGGGUGAAAUCCUGGAGCUCAACUCCAGAACUGCCUUUGAUACUGAGGAUCUUGAGUAUGGGAGAGGUGAGUGGAACUGCGAGUGUAGAGGUGAAAUUCGUAGAUAUUCGCAAGAACACCAGUGGCGAAGGCGGCUCACUGGCCCAUUACUGACGCUGAGGCACGAAAGCGUGGGGGAGCAAACAGG